UCAUAUAGAAAAUAGCAAUAUAUAUAGCAUAUUGUCUAGGAUUCCCUCUAAUUAGUAAUGCAAGCUGACUAUUUACUUUUCUUGAAGUCAUUGCCGUGAAGCUUUUUCCGAGAGCGAAACUAUACUUUUCGUACUGCUUUCCUCAUAUUUUCCUAGAAAAAAUAUUUCCAUUAUUGUAUCAAUGGCUUUCGCAUUUUCUUGGUGUUGUAGAUAAUUCAAGGGCAGGCAAAGAAAAUUUAUUGGAGUGGCUCUUUUCUAGCAGUUUGACAAUUGGCAUCAAACUAUCAGGACUUUCGUUUGCUGCUCAUCAUCUCCCAUCCAACAAGUUAAUAUAUUUAUUCUUCUUUCAAACCUCUUCAACUGCAACAACCUAUAAUUUCAUUUUCAUGCUUGCAAUUACUUAUGUUGCCAUUUUCAUGGUGAAAGUAAGUUUAGGAGAGUGAAAGGCAGCUACAUAAAACCCUUUGGAGUGGCUCUCUUCUACCAGUUCCCCAUCAUAUUAUCAGCAACAUCUGUUGCUGGCUUUCCUCAUUUGUGGUCAUCAUCACCCAUCCAACAAGUUAGUCAGAAAAGGUUGUCGAAACUAUUUUUUUUAUUUCAUUUUAAAAAUGAUGGGUCGACUUUUUGGAAAGUUAAAAUGGAGUCGCCACCAAUCUUUUUUUGUUUAGGUAUGAUCGGAUCACCUAGAAAUUUGGGUUGUUUUAAUAAAACAUUUUGAUUUAUUAAAACAAUGAUUUUGGUCUACGAAAAUAUGAAAAAAUAGGCUCGGGAGUCGAUUACGUAUGAGGAAAGAUUAGCACCCUCAUUACGCCCAAAAUUGGUACCAAAUCUAUUAAAUACUGUCCUUUUGUCUAAAAUUAAAAAUAUUUUUGAAAUUUGGUUCUUGUUAAUAACAUUUGAAUAA
Long non-coding RNA from Gossypium arboreum, 904 nucleotides. RefSeq lists it as uncharacterized. Lineage: Eukaryota; Viridiplantae; Streptophyta; Magnoliopsida; Malvales; Malvaceae. The record is from RefSeq and is a predicted model, not a curated record. The transcript has 2 exons.